ACAAAUUCACCAUUAAUCAAAAGGAAAAAAAAGAGCGGAACGUGAAACACCAAAUGGGAAAAUAUGGGAGUAAAGGAUUUUGAAAAAUAAAAAUAUAAUAAUCUUUUAAUAAAAUAAACCCAAAAUAAAUACUACCCCAGCACUAAUCCCUAACUAACAUGUUUGUUUAAAAAAAAUUAAUCUAAUCCAACUUCCUCUUCACAGGGAACAAUUAAUAACCUUAACAAAAAAGAAAAAAAAAGAGAAGAUAAUACCCUCUUGCACACACAAAGUCUCAUACUCAAAACCCUCCACAUUCUUCC
RNAcentral lists this long non-coding RNA (302 nucleotides) under Gossypium raimondii (Peruvian cotton). RNAcentral's name for it is "long non-coding RNA (GRAI_LNC002643)". The record is from RNAcentral. Lineage: Eukaryota; Viridiplantae; Streptophyta; Magnoliopsida; Malvales; Malvaceae.